AUGAACGCUGGCGGCGUGCCUAAUCCGUGCAAGUCGAGCGAACAGACGAGGAGCUUGCUCCUCUGACGUUAGCGGCGGACGGGUGAGUAACACGUGGAUAACCUACCUAUAAGACUGGGAUAACUUCGGGAAACCGGAGCUAAUACCGGAUAAUAUAUUGAACCGCAUGGUUCAAUAGUGAAAGACGGUUUUGCUGUCACUUAUAGAUGGAUCCGCGCCGCAUUAGCUAGUUGGUAAGGUAACGGCUUACCAAGGCAACGAUGCGUAGCCGACCUGAGAGGGUGAUCGGCCACACUGGAACUGAGACACGGUCCAGACUCCUACGGGAUGCAGCAGUAGGGAAUCUUCCGCAAUGGGCGAAAGCCUGACGGAGCAACGCCGCGUGAGUGAUGAAGGUCUUCGGAUCGUAAAACUCUGUUAUUAGGGAAGAACAAAUGUGUAAGUAACUAUGCACGUCUUGACGGUACCUAAUCAGAAAGCCACGGCUAACUACGUG
This 496-nucleotide ribosomal RNA is filed under the name uncultured bacterium. RNAcentral's name for it is "partial 16S ribosomal RNA". It matches the Rfam family "Bacterial small subunit ribosomal RNA", at positions 29 to 507 of the family's 1533-position model. The record is from RNAcentral.